This 65-nucleotide transfer RNA is filed under the name Amblyomma geoemydae. RNAcentral describes it as "tRNA-Thr". Lineage: Eukaryota; Metazoa; Arthropoda; Arachnida; Ixodida; Ixodidae. The record is from RNAcentral.
AAGUUUAAAUAAUUUAAAUAAAAAUAUUGAUUUUGUAAAUCAAAUUUGGAAAUUCCUUUAACUUA